Molecule: transfer RNA, 69 nt
Filed under: Rattus norvegicus (Norway rat)
Lineage: Eukaryota; Metazoa; Chordata; Mammalia; Rodentia; Muridae
Rfam family: tRNA
About the family: Transfer RNA (tRNA) molecules are approximately 80 nucleotides in length. Their secondary structure includes four short double-helical elements and three loops (D, anti-codon, and T loops).
Source: Rfam by way of RNAcentral
GGGGAUUUAGCUCAGUGGUAGAGUACUUGCCUAGCAAGCACAAGGCUCUGGGUUCGGUCCCCAGCUCCG